GGUUAUGUGGUGUAAUGGUUAGCACUUCAGACUGUGACUCGGACAAUCUGAGUUCAAAUCUUAAUAGAAUCU
This 72-nucleotide transfer RNA is filed under the name Daphnia magna. It matches the Rfam family "tRNA". From Rfam's summary of the family: Transfer RNA (tRNA) molecules are approximately 80 nucleotides in length. Their secondary structure includes four short double-helical elements and three loops (D, anti-codon, and T loops). Further hydrogen bonds mediate the characteristic L-shaped molecular structure. tRNAs have two regions of fundamental functional importance: the anti-codon, which is responsible for specific mRNA codon recognition, and the 3' end, to which the tRNAs corresponding amino acid is attached (by aminoacyl-tRNA synthetases). tRNAs cope with the degeneracy of the genetic code in two manners: having more than one tRNA (with a specific anti-codon) for a particular amino acid; and 'wobble' base-pairing, i.e. permitting non-standard base-pairing at the 3rd anti-codon position. Lineage: Eukaryota; Metazoa; Arthropoda; Branchiopoda; Diplostraca; Daphniidae. The record is from Rfam by way of RNAcentral.